UUUAACCUAUUGCUUAAUCUUUACAGAGCGGGGGAACCAUAUUGAUAUCCUGAUAAAUGUCGGUAUAUCUAGGGGUGAAUCGUACAUGCGAAGAGGACUCUCAUCCUCUAACCCGACAGCUAACCUCGUAAGCGUAUUGAGAGAAGGG
RNAcentral lists this small RNA (148 nucleotides) under Bacillus sp. (in: firmicutes). Its description in RNAcentral is "Bacillus sp. c-di-AMP sequence". It matches the Rfam family "c-di-AMP riboswitch aptamer (ydaO/yuaA leader)". From Rfam's summary of the family: This family represents a conserved RNA structure found upstream of the ydaO and yuaA genes in Bacillus subtilis and related genes in other bacteria. The ydaO/yuaA element is thought to act as a genetic "off" switch for the ydaO and yuaA genes in its native state. It is believed that the element may be triggered during osmotic shock leading to activation of ydaO, a predicted amino acid transporter gene, and members of the yuaA-yubG operon which code for KtrA and KtrB K+ transporters. The record is from RNAcentral. Lineage: Bacteria; Bacillati; Bacillota; Bacilli; Caryophanales; Bacillaceae.